Molecule: ribosomal RNA, 387 nt
Filed under: uncultured bacterium
Lineage: Bacteria
Description: bacterial SSU rRNA
Rfam family: Bacterial small subunit ribosomal RNA
Source: RNAcentral
AUUAAACGCUGGCGGCAUGCCUUACACAUGCAAGUCGAACGGCAGCACGGGGGCAACCCUGGUGGCGAGUGGCGAACGGGUGAGUAAAGCAUCGGAACGUGCCCUGGAGUGGGGGAUAACGUAGCGAAAGUUACGCUAAUACCGCAUAUUCUGUGAGCAGGAAAGCAGGGGAUCGCAAGACCUUGCGCUCUGGGAGCGGCCGAUGUCGGAUUAGCUAGUUGGUGGGUAAAGGCCUACCAAGGCGACGAUCCGUAGCGGGUCUGAGAGGAUGAUCCGCCACACUGGGACUGAGACACGGCCCAGACUCCUACGGGAGGCAGCAGUGGGGAAUUUUGGACAAUGGGCGAAAGCCUGAUCCAGCCAUGCCGCGUGAGUGAAGAAGGCCUU